CCUACGGUGUGCAGCAGUGGGGAAUAUUGCACAAUGGGGGAAACCCUGAUGCAGCGACGUCGCGUGAGUGAUGAAGUAUUUCGGUAUGUACAGCUCUAUCAGCAGGGAAGAAAAUGACGGUACCUGACUAAGAAGCACCGGCUAACUACGUGCCAGCAGCCGCGGUAAUACGUAGGGGGCAAGCGUUAUCCGGAUUGACUGGGUGUAAAGGGAGCGUAGACGGCGGUGCAAGCCAGAUGUGAAAGCCCGGGGCUCAACCCCGGGACUGCAUUUGGAACUGUGCGGCUAGAGUGUCGGAGAGGCAGGGGGAAUGCCUAGUGCAGGGGGGAAAGGCGUAGAUAGAAGGAGGAAAACCAGUGGCGAAGGCGGCAUGUUGGACGAUGACUGACGUUGAGGCUCGAAAGCGUGGGGAGCAAAGAGGAUUAGAUACCCAGUAGUC
This 439-nucleotide ribosomal RNA is filed under the name uncultured bacterium. Its description in RNAcentral is "partial 16S ribosomal RNA". It matches the Rfam family "Bacterial small subunit ribosomal RNA", at positions 338 to 795 of the family's 1533-position model. The record is from RNAcentral.